AUGCUACAACCGUCAACAGUGGGAGCUACAAGCAGCGAUGGCGAGAUGGAAAGCUGUGACCAUGGAGUUGAUUUGCUGGGACGGGGGGACGACUGUGGUGGCGGAGUUGCAACGGUGGUUGGUGGUGGAGAUGGGACCGUGCCCCCUGCUUCAUCCACAGGGCCGUCGGGAGCUGCAAUGGCAACCUCGGGCACGACGGCGACCUCACGCACGAAGACGGCGACUUGGUGCAGCGCGCCUGCACGAGCAAACCGACGGCGACCUCGCGCGCGACGACGGCGACUUGGUGCAGCGCGCCUGCACGAGCAAACCGACGGCAAGCGCGGGUCACGGGGCGGCCGACGAGCGUAUGUUGUGCGGCCGUGCGGGAGACCGGCGAGUGCGGAUGAGGUCGAGCGGUUGCGCUGGGCUCUAUCCUCUUCUUCUUUUUUCUUUUUUAUUUAG
This 444-nucleotide ribosomal RNA is filed under the name Triticum aestivum (bread wheat). Its description in RNAcentral is "partial small subunit ribosomal RNA". The record is from RNAcentral. Lineage: Eukaryota; Viridiplantae; Streptophyta; Magnoliopsida; Poales; Poaceae.